GGUCAAGUAAUGAAGUGCACAUGGUGGAUGCCUUGGCAGUCAGAGGCGAUGAAAGACGUGAUAGCCUGCGAUAAGCGUCGGUGAGGUGGCAAUAUCCUGUGACCCGGCGAUUUCUGAAUGGGGAAACCCAGCCAACAUAAGUUGGCUAUCCUAACCUUUGGUUAGGAGGCAAACCGGGAGAAGUGAAACAUCUCAGUACCCCGAGGAAAAGACAUCAAUAGAGAUUCCCCAAGUAGCGGCGAGCGAACGGGGAGGAGCCGAUCAAACUUGUAGUAGCAAAAUGGCGUGGGAAAGCCAACCAUAGUAGGUGAUAGUCCUGUAUGCGAAACUGCAAAUGCGACAUAUUAAGUAGGGCGAGACACGUGAAAUCUUGUCUGAAGAUGGGGGGACCAUCCUCCAAGGCUAAAUACUCCUGACUGACCGAUAGUGAACCAGUACCGUGAGGGAAAGGCGAAAAGAACCCCUGUUAGGGGAGUGAAAUAGAACCUGAAACCGUGUGCAUACAAGCAGUCGGAGCCCACUUGUUGGGUGACGGCGUACCUUUUGUAUAAUGGGUCAGCGACUUAUAUUCUGUAGCAAGGUUAACCGUUUAGGGGAGCCGUAGGGAAACCGAGUCUUAAUAGGGCGAUUAAGUUGCAGGGUAUAGACCCGAAACCGAGUGAUCUAUCCAUGAGCAGGUUGAAAGUGCCGUAACAGGCACCGGAGGACCGAACCCACUGUCGUUGAAAAGCCAGGGGAUGACUUGUGGAUAGGGGUGAAAGGCUAAUCAAACUCGGUGAUAGCUGGUUCUCCCCGAAAGCUAUUUAGGUAGCGCCUCGGACGAAUACCAUUGGGGGUAGAGCACUGUUUCGGCUAGGGGGUCAUCCCGACUUACCAAACCGAUGCAAACUCCGAAUACCGAUGAGUGAUAUCCGGGAGACAGACGGCGGGUGCUAACGUCCGUCGUCAAGAGGGAAACAACCCAGACCGCCAGCUAAGGCCCCAAAUUCCUAGUUAAGUGGGAAACGAUGUGGGAAGGCACAGACAGCUAGGAGGUUGGCUUAGAAGCAGCCACCCUUUAAAGAAAGCGUAAUAGCUCACUAGUCGAGUCGGCCUGCGCGGAAGAUGUAACGGGGCUCAAACUAGGAGCCGAAGCUGCGGAUUUAAUUGUUUCAAUUAAGUGGUAGGGGAGCGUUGUGUAAGCCUGUGAAGGUGUGUUGUAAAGCAUGCUGGAGGUAUCACAAGAGCGAAUGCUGACGUGAGUAACGACAAAACGGGUGAAAAGCCCGUUCGCCGGAAGACCAAGGGUUCCAGUCCAACGUUAAUCGGGGCUGGGUGAGUCGACCCCUAAGGCGAGGCCGAAAGGCGUAGUCGAUGGGAAAUCGGUUAAUAUUCCGAUACUUGUUUAUGAUGCGAUGGAGGGACGGAGAAGGUUAUGUCAGCCUGGCGUUGGUUGUCCAGGUGAAAGGAUGUAGGUAGGUUUAGUAGGCAAAUCCGCUAGACUAUUACUGAGAUCUGAUAGCAAGCCAGUUUACUGGCAAAGUGGCAAAUACCCUGCUUCCAGGAAAAGCUUCUAAGCGAUAGUCAUAAACAAAUCGUACCCGAAACCGACACAGGUGGUCAGGUAGAGAAUACCAAGGCGCUUGAGAGAACUCUGCUGAAGGAACUAGGCAAAAUGGUACCGUAACUUCGGGAGAAGGUACGCUGCCGAUGGUGAUAAGACUUGCUCUUUGAGCUGUUGGCAGUCGCAGAUACCAGGCUGCUGCAACUGUUUAUUAAAAACACAGCACUCUGCAAACACGAAAGUGGACGUAUAGGGUGUGAUGCCUGCCCGGUGCUGGAAGGUUAAUUGAUGGGGUUAGCGUAUGCGAAGCUCUUGAUCGAAGCCCCAGUAAACGGCGGCCGUAACUAUAACGGUCCUAAGGUAGCGAAAUUCCUUGUCGGGUAAGUUCCGACCUGCACGAAUGGCAUAAUGAUGGCAGCGCUGUCUCCAGCAGAGACUCAGUGAAAUCGAAAUCGCAGUGAAGAUGCUGUGUACCCGCGGCUAGACGGAAAGACCCCGUGAACCUUUACUACAGCUUUACAUUGAACUUUGACCUAACUUGUGUAGGAUAGGUGGGAGGCUUUGAAGUGGCGACGCCAGUUGCCAUGGAGCCAUCCUUGAAAUACCACCCUGGUUAUGUUGGGGUUCUAACUUAGAUGUAACAACAUCAAGGACAAUGUAUGGUGGGUAGUUUGACUGGGGCGGUCUCCUCCUAAAGAGUAACGGAGGAGUACGAAGGUGCGCUCAGAACGGUCGGAAAUCGUUCAAAGAGUAUAAAGGCAAAAGCGCGCUUAACUGCGAGACCCACAAGUCGAGCAGGUACGAAAGUAGGUCUUAGUGAUCCGGUGGUUCUGUAUGGAAGGGCCAUCGCUCAACGGAUAAAAGGUACUCUGGGGAUAACAGGCUGAUACCGCCCAAGAGUUCAUAUCGACGGCGGUGUUUGGCACCUCGAUGUCGGCUCAUCUCAUCCUGGGGCUGAAGCAGGUCCCAAGGGUAUGGCUGUUCGCCAUUUAAAGAGGUACGCGAGCUGGGUUUAGAACGUCGUGAGACAGUUCGGUCCCUAUCUACCGUGGGCGUUGGAAAUUUGAGAGGAUCUGCUCCUAGUACGAGAGGACCAGAGUGGACGAACCUCUGGUGUUCCGGUUGUUUCGCCAGAAGCACUGCCGGGUAGCUAUGUUCGGAUGGGAUAACCGCUGAAAGCAUCUAAGCGGGAAGCCCACCUCAAGAUUAGAUUUCCCUAAAGAGCCGUUGUAGACUACGACGUUGAUAGGUUGGGUGUGGAAGCAUGGCGACAUGUGUAGCUAACCAAUACUAAUUGCUCGUUUGGCUUGACCAU
This 2858-nucleotide ribosomal RNA is filed under the name Moraxella bovis. RNAcentral describes it as "23S ribosomal RNA". It matches the Rfam family "Bacterial large subunit ribosomal RNA". The record is from RNAcentral. Lineage: Bacteria; Pseudomonadati; Pseudomonadota; Gammaproteobacteria; Moraxellales; Moraxellaceae.